This 277-nucleotide ribosomal RNA is filed under the name uncultured bacterium. RNAcentral describes it as "partial 16S ribosomal RNA". It matches the Rfam family "Bacterial small subunit ribosomal RNA", at positions 28 to 316 of the family's 1533-position model. The record is from RNAcentral.
GAUAAACGCUGGCGGCGUGCCUAACACAUGCAAGUCGAACGCGCUGAAGGGGAGACCUUUCAGUGAGUGGCGGACGGGUGAGUAUCACAUGGGUGACCUACCCUCAGGUGAGGAAUACCGGCGAGAAAUCGCCGACAAAACCGCAUAGGCUCGGGCAACCGAGCAAAGUCGCAAGACGCCUGGGGAUGGGCCUGUGCCCGAUUAGCUGGUUGGUGAGGUAAUGGCUCACCAAGGCUGCGAUCGGUCGCUGGUCUGAGAGGAUGAUCAGCCACACUGG